AAACCAAGAAAUUUAGUCAUUCUUUUACGGUAAAAAGACAGUUAGGCAAAGUAAGAUCAUUAGAUCUUCAAUAUAGGGGUAAAAUCUAUAUAUUGAAAGUUAUUUUAGGAAUGGUUUAUUUUAGAUGCUGAAUCUGUGAUAGCUUUAAGGGAAACUGGGAUUGGAUACCCCACUAUUUUUAGUCGUAAAUUUAAUUUGAUUUACCAGAGUACUACGAAUAAAAAGUUUAAAACUCAAAGAGCUUGGCGGUGUUUUAGACCUCUCAGGGGAACCUGUCUCAUAAUCGACAAUCCACGUUAAACCUGACCUUUAGUGGCAAAUCAGCUUGUAUACCGUCGUCGUCAGGUAACUUCUUAAAAUGUAGUAGUUAGCUCGAUAACUUUAUUAGUUAGGACGUCAGAUCAAGGUGCAGCUAAUAGAAAGGGGAGGAUGGGUUACAAUUAGAUAUUUAUAAUUACGGAAAACACUUGAAAUUAAGUGUCUAAAGGAGGACUUGAAAGUAAUUUUGAUUAUAUAAACGGAAUGAAUAAGGCUCUGAAACGUG
This 544-nucleotide ribosomal RNA is filed under the name Conus excelsus. RNAcentral's name for it is "partial 12S ribosomal RNA". Lineage: Eukaryota; Metazoa; Mollusca; Gastropoda; Neogastropoda; Conidae. The record is from RNAcentral.